ACGAAACUCACGUUCUUCACUGCACUCACGGCCUUCUCCUCACGUGCUACGUACUUGACACUAAAGGUACUCAAAACAACGGCAUGUGCUUCUUUAGGAUGAAGAUUUCAGCUUUGUUGAUUGUGGUAACCAUGCAUGCUGCAUUUGUUGCAUGUAAUCCUGAUGACUGCAUUGCAAGGAAUAGCGAACGCCGGGGCUGCAAGUUUGGUACGCAACAUAUUCCGAAAGGUGAAACUAGGAGUAUGCAGCAUCCCUGUGUUCAAGCUUCGUGCUCAGCGGAUGGAAGAACACUGACAGUUCGCGGGUGCCCAUUUGAAGGCGGACAAAACCCACACCCCGGAGCACCUGGACCCGCUGCACCAGGCCAACAAUACCCUUAUUGUUGCAAUAAGUGCAGCGCAGUACCAUAACAGGAUAUCACGGGCACUGGAGCCAGGUAUAACGAGUUCAAGUGCCCCGAACGCCAACGGGGGUGCAAAUAAUAUCUAUAUUAGUGUAGCGGCAGUCAAAAGAGGUCAGCACACGGCUUUGUGUUAUGAAUAAAAUA
This is a non-coding RNA of Dermacentor andersoni, 547 nucleotides long. The record is from RefSeq and is a predicted model, not a curated record. NCBI's taxonomy places the organism in Eukaryota, Metazoa, Arthropoda, Arachnida, Ixodida, Ixodidae.